This is a non-coding RNA of Vicugna pacos (alpaca), 1489 nucleotides long. The record is from RefSeq and is a predicted model, not a curated record. Lineage: Eukaryota; Metazoa; Chordata; Mammalia; Artiodactyla; Camelidae.
UGUUCUGAAUAAAAGCUUUCCAAUUUUCUAUAUCUCAAUAGACAAUAUUAUUUCCAAAUAGACAGGUCAAAGAUGACUCCAAUAUUGUCCUCUUUCUCUAAAAUGUUUCCUUUUUCUGUAAAACCAACAAAACAGAACCAGAAACUAUCAGGCAGCAACCAUUGUCACUUUCGUAUUUAUUCUUUUCUUCCACACUAAAAAAAAUAGCUAUACAUAACGUUUGACAUCUGUUUUUUUUUCAUAUACUAUAUUUUUGAGACCUUUCUAUAUCAGUUAAGUAUUAAACUGCCUCAUUUAAAAAAUCAGUUUCAUUGAGGUAUAAUUUACAUGGAAUAACAUGCAAAGAGCUUUGACAAAUAUAUACACCCAAGUUGGUAAUACCCUUGUUAGGAUUUAGAUAUUCCCAUCACUGUGGAAAUUUCCCUUAUGCCUCUUUAUAGUUCGUUCCUCCUAUUCCCCAUCAAAGCAACCACUGAUCUGAAUUCUUUAAAUAUAAAUUGGUUUAGCCUGUUCUAGAAGUUCAUGUAAGUGGACAAAUAUAGUAUGUACUCUUGUCUGGUUCCUUUCACUUACUAUCAUGCUUUUGAGAUUUGCUUUGUUUGCAGGUGUUGGUAAUUCAGUCCUUUUUAUGGCUGAGCAUUAUUUCAUUGUAGGAACAGAUCGAUCUGCUUACCAGUUCUCCUGUUGAUGGACGUUUGAUUUGUUUCCAGUUUUUUGGCUAUCAUGAAUAAAGCUUCUAUGAACAUUCAUGUAAGGAAGUUGUAACUCCAUCCUAACAUCAAGUAAAAAGCUGAAUAAACUGAAAAUGAACAACUCAUAUCUAUCAGAGAAUUGAAGUCACAGGGCAAACUGCUGCCCCCAAAUGGAAGAGACAGGCAGCUACAAAAUCACUACUUAUUGGAGCAGAAAGCCCACAAGGAGCAGACACUCCUGUGAGGGACCAGUAUCCAGUUAUUUCUGCAUCCUGGCACUGGGUAGUGAUGUCAGAUGAAUUUCUUAUUAUGCAAGCAGAUGAAGCAGCAGAGGGAAGGAGCCAUGGGGUAAAGAGUCUGAAAAUGAAGACUGGGACAACUCAGUGAGUGCCAAGAUUGAGUUCAAAUUCCAGCUCUACCACUGACGGGCUGAGAGUCCUCAAUCAAGGGAUGGUGACUGGUACAUGGAAAGAAUAGCAGCUACUUGAGUUUCUUUCCUCCCUUUCCACCCACUCCCCUAAAAAUGGGAGGAAUCAGACCUUCCUUGACUGGGUCAGAGCUUAAGUGAGAACAGAAAAAAGAGGAAGAAGAUAGAGGAAGGAGCUGAGAAGUUGUUUAUAUUCACAUGCAAACUGAAUAAACCAAUCCCAGAGUUAGCCCUCCAGUCACUUUGUCUGCUAUAAUAAUAAAUUAAAAUUGCUACAUGGAUCAUCAAGCAGGAAUCUCAGCUGAUUCUGAAGAUGCUCAAAAUUCAUAUUCCGUUUGGAUACUGAAUAGUCUUCCUACCCACAGAGAAG